This 390-nucleotide long non-coding RNA is filed under the name Homo sapiens (human). RNAcentral describes it as "HSALNT0366599". Lineage: Eukaryota; Metazoa; Chordata; Mammalia; Primates; Hominidae. The record is from RNAcentral.
UUUUUGCCGUCUGGUCAUCCUCGUCGGUCUUCUGCUUCUGGGUAUCGACAUCGUUAUCCUCAUCAUCUUCAGCUGCCCGCUUGCCCGUAGCUGACUCAGCUCCCUCAUCUUCAUCUCCAUCCUCUUCCUCACCAUCACCUUCUUCCUCCCCACCUUCUUCCUCUUCUUCAUCUACCUCGUUGUCAGCCUCCGGCUCCCCAUUUUCCUCAUUAGCAUUCCCGUGAGCAGGGGCGUCUCUUCCAUUUUCCGCCUCUUCCACAACUUCCUUCUUCUCCUUUAAGUCCUCGGUGGUGAUUUCGGAGCUGGUGUCUACGGCUGCGUCUGACAUGGUGGGGCACGCCGGUGACGCGAUGCAGGGGCUGAUGCACAGGGCAGCGUGUUGAAAGUUUC